UGCAAAUAGGCAAUUACUAGAAAAAGCAAGUUAAGGGGAAUGAGUCCUGGAAACACUAAAAUAAACAUCAUUUCAUUUAAAUAUGCGAAGCAUUUGAAGUUACAUGUUCAUCUUUUGAAUAAAGUCAUUACUCACUACCCAAGAAGUAAGCGUCAUUCACUUAUCCUAGUUACAAAUUUUCUCGUUUAAUUAAGUCAUUGAAUGCAAUUGCAAACUAAACUGAUAAAUUAUCAACACAAGUAAUGAAAUGGAAUAUUUUGAAAUUCAUGAAGAUCCCAGAUGCACCUAACCAAUGUAUACUUAGUACAAUUCAAACAAGAAAAACAUACCCAAUCAUGGCAAGCAACGAGGAAAUGAUCUGCUCCUUCAGUUCUAUUCCAGAAAUUAUGUUUGGCUGAAAUCAUGUUGACAUAGUUCCUCAAAUAUUGAAUAAGGUCCUUAUGAUUAUGAGAAUUUUGCACAUAUAAGGUUUCUUCUAACAUCCGAGAACUAAAAGGUAAGUAAAACAGGUGAGCUUUUCUUGAAUCUCUAGUAACAAAUUGUUUGUUAGCUUCUAGCUGCUUCAUGAACCAUCCCUCUGAAGCAUAUAUUCCCUUCAGCACUGGCUCAUGUAAUAUGGGUCUUUGUCCCUCUUUGUAAACAUAAACUUUGAGUGUUUCUUCCAUCAAUUCAUAGCUCCUGCAAAUUGCAUUAUAAAAUCUAAACUAAUUAAUUAGUCCUACAAAUCGAAGUUGUAAUGGAUAUUUAUACUCUGCAUUAAACUUUAGCAGCGCAAAUUAUUUGGAAAUCAAAGAACAGAGGAGAUUGUGUAUCUUUGAUGAAAUAAUCAAAUAUCACCAAUUAUAGACACCAGUUAAUAGCAGGUAUUAAAGCAUUAAUUUGCAAUAAAAGUAUAUCAAUUAUAAGAUAAAUAAUCAAAUGGAAACAGAAUUAUGCGCUAACAGGUAAGUAAAAAAGAAUGGUGAUAAGAUUUCGGUGGAUUUUGUGGUACCUUUUGAACCUGGAAACACUCCGAUAAAGAGGAGCAUAAAGUUCAUGAUCAUUCUUUAAUAGGGGUGCAUUCUCAAUCUGUGAUCUAGCAUAUAACAUCUCUUGGUCAACGGCUGAGGACAAUCUUGGUCUCUAUAAACAACAGAGAAACAUAAACGUAGGUAAAAGUAAAUUGAUACAGAACUUAAAUCUCCAAACAUAAAAUUAGAAGCUUUACGCAUACCAUUGAUCGAUAUGAAGCACGAUUUUGUAGCAGCAUAUUUUUCAUCUCAGCGAUAGUGAUUACUGCAGGGGUUGGAAUCUCAGGCUUUUUAUUCUCCUUAGGAACAUCGACCCCGGAAGAAUUCUCCCCCAAUGUGUUCAAACUACUUUGUGCUGGUUUUUCGAUCUUGACUAAAGCGGGUGUUGCAUCCAUGUCCAUUGAAGAUGUGUUAGAAUCAAUUGUAAUAGGAGGAGUGCUAAUAUUUGCACCUUGUAGGGUAAUAUUAGAUGAUAAAUCCAUCACUGGGGACACAGGAAUAGGUGAAAGACCAGCCCCGCCUGAAUCAUUUCUUUGAAUAAAGCUCUGUUCUGAUUCUCUGCCCUUUUCUGGUCCAGGCCCAUUACCUGCAUUCUGGACAGUAUCCACAGUGGAAUUUUUAUUUAGCUCCUCCAAUUUCUCAGUCAUAGGCUCCUCAUGAUUAUCUUCCCCAUCAUAAAAAUCAUCUUGUAGAUUUGCAUCCUCUGCUUUGGAGGUUCUAGUAUCAUUAGCCAUCUCGUGCACAUUAUGUGUACCAGUAGAAUUCAAGCCAUUUGCAGUAUCACUGGCUAUCUCAGACUUAGAUUCCGGACCGCCAGUCACCAAGCUAUUGUUUUCCACUGCGGGUGCUGGAACCUUACCAGUAGAAAAUACCGAUGAUAAAACAUGAUCAUAGGGAAGUUCAAAAUAUUGGAACGCCACAAUCACUGUAAGCAUGAUUCCCAUAGGCCAUAGUAAUCUCUUCGUUUCCCCUUGACACAAGGAUCGAAUUUCAUAACCCAUUCAGAUAAUUGGACUGUCGGUUGACUUCCAACCAAAAUUCUCAUCACUGCACAGCCAAAAUCCAAUUUCAGCCAAAAAUGCCUUCUAGUCACUUGGUGUUAUGAAUCCAAUUUUAAAUAAAAGUAUAACUCAUUAUUUAUGCUCAAAGUUUCACAUGCAACUACAUUGAUUAACAACACUCAAACAAACAAGAAACAUAAACAACAAAAAAAGAAAAAGAAAAAAAAGCCAAAAGCAGGAUCUUCAACCAUCAAUAGCAUGCAAAUUUAUAGAAGCAAGAUCUCAUGUGAUCAUGAAACAAACACUGCAGUAAUCAAAUUUCCAGCAGAAUGAAUUAAAAUCAAACAGACAUGCAAUUCAGAAACCAACAACCAACUCUAAAUGCUAUUGAAAAUUUACCAAGAAAUAACGUGAAGGGCCUUCUUGUUGUUGGUUGCCACGAAAAUAUACGAAACCACUAAAAGGGAAACGAUUCUUUCCCUUAUUUAGUCGUUUUAAAAAUUCUGAGCAACCAAAUAGUCAUUUUCUUUAAUGAAAUAUAAUUAUUAAAAUUAAGAAGAGUACUGGAGCUCGUUCAAUCCUAUUUGGUAGCUUCCAGUCCACGUACUUCUGCUCUGUUUGCCUGUUUGGCGUUUAGUGACUGUUUUUGGGCUUGACUAAGAUGUAUUGUUUCAUUUAAAUAUAGGCUGUUCACCAGUUCGUCAAUUAUGAAAUGUCAAAUUCCCGAGUUACUCACGCGCACCUCGGCGAGUGUAUAUUCUCUACCAUGUCUAUUUGGUAUUUAAGGUUUUUUUUUUAGAAAUUAUCUACCAUCCACUUUAGGUUUACUCAGUUAUUAGAAAUAUUAUAGAAAUUUGAAUUUGUUCAAACUUUAAUAUUAAAUUUUUUUAAUUUGUAUCAAUCGUUCAUCAAAAUAUUAACUAACUUUUAUAAUUAAUGAUGUUGCAAGGAUAAUUCCGACAUCUGUUAUGUUAAAUACAAAAUAAAGUAAUAGCUUAAAAUAUAAAAAUAAAAAAUAUUUUUCUAUAACUAUUAUUCAAUUAAGCAUACUUAUGUUAACUAACUUUUAUAAUUAAUGAUGUUGCAAGGAUAAUUCCGACAUCUGUUAUGUUAAAUACAAAAUAAAGUAAUAGCUUAAAAUAUAAAAAUAAAAAAUAUUUUUCUAUAACUAUUAUUCAAUUAAACAUACUUAGAACUCGAUUUUGAAUUUUAAAAAAAUCUAAUUUGUCUUGUCAAUUUAUCUUCAAAAUUACAUAAUCAAAAUUAACCCACAAAUUAUUCUAAACCCUAAUUCAUAAACACAUUAUCAAUUCAAUCCUUAAAUUUAAUUUCAUAUUUUAAAAAAAACCUUAUUUUAUUUUAUUAUUUAUCAUGCAUAGUAAAGAAGGUCCUUAAAUUCAAGAGUAAAAUGACCAAUAUACCUAAAUUUUGUUAAAAUAUUCUAUCGGUGAUUGAUAAGAAUUACAAGCUUAAGCUAAAAAAGUAAAGAAAUUUAAGCUUUUUUAGUAUUUUUAUAACAACAAGCGCAAAAUCGUUAAAUUACUACAAUUGGUUAAUUUCUUAAUCGAAGGCUGAAGCUAAUGAUGUAGUAGAUAAAUAAUAAAAUUUGUAAAUUUUAUUGUAGAUGAAUGAUACAACUUAAAAGUGUUAUAAUAUUUUUUUGUAACACAAAAAUUUAAAAGUAUAUGACUAAUAAUUUUUUUUUAAUUUUUUUUAUUUCUACAUAAGCAAGCACAUAUUGAAACCGAUUUGAGUACGUAAUAUUAGAUUCAAUAAAAUUAUUUUAUUCUAAAAUUUUAUUAUAAAUGAUGUGACAUUCAAACAAUAAUGCGUGAAUUUUUCUUAUUACUCAAAGUUAGAUAUUACCAAACUUAAGUGUGUGGUGAGCUUACUAAAUAUUUAAGAGUUAAAUUAAUGUUAGAACACAUCACAAAGUAAAAAGAUAAAAACAAUUCAAUACACACGAUGGUAAACUAUUUCUGUUCCAUUCAAGUGGACAUAAGUUUAAGUAGUGUGCAUCUUCAGAGUGAUUUUAUUACAAAUAUUUAAAUGGUAUUAUAAAAGAAUAUUUAAAAGGUAUUUAAAUUCUUCUUAAGCAUAAAAAAAUGCAUGUUUCAAUAAUCAAGUCUAAUUUAAUAAAAAUCAUCAUGUAUCCCACGCGAAACAAAGAGCGUGAGCUCUCGCUUUAUUCUAUUAGGGCAAAUCAAAAUGGGCAAAGCUUAUGUUACAAGUAUUGUAACAAACAGCCAAUAGAUAUGGAUCAUUGAUUUUUAUAUUUCUUAAAUCCAAUGGAUGAAAGUAACUUUAACAUAAAAUAAGGUACGGAUGCAACAACAAUUUAAAGCAAAAUUUAUUUUUAGUUGAAUAUCUACUUAUUUUUUCAAAUUAGUUCUUAUUAAUUUUGUAUAACUAAAUAGUUUUGUCUAUCAUCUCUUCUACAUUUAUUUUUAAAUUUUUUACUAUAUUUUUAUAAGGACCUAAAUGCUUAUCAUGUUCAUAAAGAUUUACAAAUUCUGAAUAUAUAUUUUUACUUGUAUUUAUAAUUUAUUGUCUCUCUUAAGACAUGAAUUUUAUACACACACACACACACACCAUCAAUGCUUUCACAUAGAUUUUGAAAUCUAAAUUUAGCAUCCUGAAUUAUAAGAGAUGUUAUAUAUCAUAAAUAUCUUAUAAAUCUAAUGAAUUAUUAGAAAAAUGGUACAAUGAAUAAAUUACCAGAAUCUCCAAUAAUUUCACAAAAUAUAAAAACCAAUAACUUACCACAUUCUAGUUACAGGCAAAGAGAAUUUUUAUAUGAAAGAUUUCAAUUUUUUGAUCGGAUCAAUGAUUCAAACAUGUGAGGAAAUAAUCAAUUAAAUUGAAUUUCACUAUAUCUAUUAAAUAAAUUAGGAAACCCAAAUUUAUCUAUAAAAUGAUAUAGAAAGUGCAAACAAAAAAUUAGACAUUAAUAAUUUCAAUGAAGAAAAUAUAAAACAAUUAAAGAGUUAGGAGAUCAAAUGAGUAAAGAAUUUUAUAAAGUUAAACAAUUAACAAAAUACUCCAACAUUGAAGAUCGAUAUAUAUUAAAGAAAGAUAUCAUUAAUAUAAUUAAUAAAAACUCAAUAAAUGUAAGAUUAAACAAGUUAAAGAUUCAAUUAGAUAAAAUAGAAAAAAAAUUGUUGAGCAACUUAGAACUAAAUUUGCUAUAAAAUAUAAAUAGAAAAAUUUAAGAAAAUUAAAGUUCUAAGAUACAAUUAGGACAAAGAGGGCAAGUUAAAUUGAUUUCCAGCCAGCCAUCGAUGCAAUUUAAAUGAAAGAUUUGAUUGCAUACAGGAAAACUUCAACAAGUCGAGAGGUUGGUUUCAUCAUCUGCAAAAGUUUCCAAAGUAAAUAGAACAAUCACUAGAACUUGGUGAUGACGUACUUUCUUACCUUUUGUAAUUUACAAGAUACUUCAUUUUAUUUAAGGUAUGUUCUCUUUGCCUUUGCCUUUUUUUUUUAGGUUUGUAAAAAUUUGUUUAAUAUCUUUAAUAGCCAUGAGUUGGUUUGAUGAGACCAAAUACGAUCAAAAUCAAUAUACCAAAUGAAAAACCAAUCAAGAACGUGAUAAAAGAAGAAGAAGAAGAGGCACAAAUUAACCUAUGAGGCAAAUGUCGAUAGAAUUUCAGGUACUGUCCAAAAUAAUAAAGACUUGAGGGGGCAUGGGUUUUGCCAUUGAUGUUGACUAAAGGGUGGCUAAUGUCCCUCCCGAAAAAUUUAGAAGAUUUUUACAGGCAGCCUAGAAUUUAUAAUACAUAUUUAAAAUUUAUUGACUUUUUUAUAAUUAUCAACUUUUCUAAAGAUAUAAAAACUUUUAGCUGUGACCUACAGGCAAUGUAGUGUAAGCUUUGCCAUCAAAAUGUCGAUGUGCAAAGCUAUUUAAUAGCUUUAUUCUUCUUGUAGAUCAAUCAAAUGACCGAUGAUGCUACUGAAGCCGUGGGCACUGGGCCGUGGCUGAACUCAUUAAUAAUGCAUUUACUAUAUAUGUAAAUUUUGUUUUAAUUACGCCCUUUUUCUUAUGCAUUCGGAUCGGAGUCCCGCAGCAUGCAAAUUCAAUCACAAUCACCGGGUCUCAUUAAGUUUUCAACUAAAUUGGCAUUAAAUAAUAAAUUGUUUUUAUUUUGAAAGGAAAAUUAUUUUUGGGUUAAAAUAACGUUUUUUUUGGGUGACCAAUCUAUAAAAAUAGAGUAAUGAUACAACCACAAACUCUUGUACAAACUUAUUUUCUACAAACUAACGUGUCAUUAAUUCAUUAGUUGAAUGAAAACAUAAAUUAAUAAAAACAAAUCAUGUGGGCCAAGUGAUAUUUAAUUCAACCAAUCUUAUCAUGCCACAUCAGUUUGUACAAGAGUUUGUGGCUGUAUCAUUACUCAUAAAAAUAUAGUUCACUUAUCUUUUUUUUUUUAAUUUUAAUCAUAAUCUUGAGAUGAAAACAUUAGAUACUUAUGGUGAUUUUCCAAUAUGGUUGCACUUGAUAAUUGACUACAAAAUAUAAAAUAUUUAUGAAUGCACGUAGUUGCAGAAUGUUGUUGCUGGCAUAAAAGAGAAAUUCUACAGUACAUCAAUGUACUAUUUCAGUCAUAUAAUAAAUAAAUGAUAUUAUAACAUAUGUGUAUUUAUUUUGAAAGAUCAUAAUACAAUUGGCGGUUACAUUAAAUUCAAUUACAUAUAUUAUACAUGCAUCAAUUGAUUGUAUUAUCUCUAAUGUAUUAUAGAAUUUCUCAGCAUAGAGAGUGGAUAUUAACAUACCGUAUAUAUACUGGAUCUUACAAAGUGUAUGUGAUCUGUUUCUUUGCAUUUAUAAUUUUUUUUUUUUUUUGGUGUAUAUGUGAUAGUAAUAUUAGUGACAAAUUGAUGGGUCAAGCUAGACUUUUUUAAGCUCAAACUUAAGUCCGUGUUAGAGGAAAUAGAUCCAAGCCCUCUAGAAGCUCAUUUAAGUUUGGAGGGCUAAGCCUAGACCGUGCCCAUUCCGAGUGUAGACUUCAAUAUUUUUUUUAAAUAUUUUUUUAAAUUGUUAUAAAUCUGUAACAAGGAAUAAUCAACAACAAAUUAAAAAAAAUUGUCUCAAAAUAAAAUAAUAAAUAAAGAAAAUAAAAGUUUAUCGACUUAAUUUCUUAGAAGUGAUUUUAGUUCAAACAUCAUUUUAAUUAAUUAAUGAUGCCUCCUACAUCAUCAUCGUCGUCGUCGUCGUCGUCGUCAUAAUAAUAAUAAUAAUAAUAAAUAAACUACCUAAAGCCUGAAGACUUUAAAUUAAUUGACUUUUAAAUAAUUAAAUUUGAUAAGAAAAUCUGAAAUGAUUGUAAAUUGAUUUAUUAUUUUAAUUUAUAAAUUUAAAUUCAAUUAUUUAAAAAUAUAUUGAAGGUGGGUAGAAAUUUUUUUUAUUUAAGCCUUUUGUCCAAACGUCCUCAUAGCAGAUUUAAAAUUUUUUUGGCUUAUGUCUAAACUCUCAUGCAGGGGACCCCGCCUGGUCGGACGAUGACAUUUUGGCCAAGCCUAUAGAGUGAGGUUAUGGCUGGUUCUAUUUUUGUAGCUUCUACUCCUACGACUUUCAUUGAAAUAUUUUUGCUCUUUUCGAAAGGAUACAAGAAAGAUGCACCAUCAUGCAUCCCAUUAAUGAAAGAGAACAUCGUGUAUGGUAAAUCAAAAAUCAUGAUACGAAGCUAUUGACGGCUUUAUUCUCGUAAUCUAAGGAUUAAUAAUGCUACAUGCAAAUUACAUUGUAUUUAUAUAUUAAUUAACAAACCCCUUCAUUAUUAUAAGCACGUCAUUAUAUAGAUUGUGACAACGGUACCCCAUAAUAUGAGUUACCGUCAACUAAUCAAAAUAUAUUGAUUUUUUUUUUUAAUCAUCUAAAACUAACAAAUUGUGGAGUACGGUACCUAAGGGCACCUAGCUGCACCAAUUAUUUGAUUAUUUAUUUAAACACUGUGCAUUGGGUAAGAGAAAUAGAAAUGGAGAUCGACAGGGCUGAUGGGCGUAACCCUAAUCAAUUGAGACCACUUGCUUGCUAUUGCAGCAUCCUUCACCGUGCACAUGGCUCUGCCAGUUGGUCUCAAGGCUUCCGCUUCAUUCAGACCUCUCAUUUUUACCUUUUUAAUUUAUUUGUUUUCACUUCAAAAUGCUAUUUUUGUUAUUGGGUUUGGUUCAGGAGACACGAAAGUGCUGGCUGCUGUUUACGGACCCAAAGCUGGAACUGAAAGAAGAAUGAAAAUCCUGAGAAGGUUAGCAUUGAAGUCAUUUGGAAAUCUAAAACUGGACAGAUUGGUAAUCUUCUUUUCAUUUUUCCUUUUAAGUAUUUCCCACUGAGACUAUAUGAAUUCUACAUUAUUGUAUUGUUUGGUCCAAGCUAUGGCUUUGUAUGAAACUUUUGCUAGCUAAACUUGCAAAAUUGCCCAUUUAUAUUAGGGAAACAGGAAAAAGAGUACGAGAUGAUACUGAAGCGGACUUUGCAGAGCAUAUGCAUUUUGACUAUCAAUCCAAAUACCACAACCUCAGUUAUAAUUCAGGUGUGGUAAUUUCUUUCGAGUGCAAAUACCUUAAGGGUUAUGGCCUCUUGCCUGUGUCGAGCAUCACUUGUAAAUUUUACACUGAUAUUUUAAGGAAGAUGAUUGUAACCUUUUUAAGGAAGCGUAUAAUCUGACGGUUGAAAGAGAGAGCUUAGCCGCUUAUUAGUUAUUAUGAUCUUUCACGUGAUAAGGGCUUGCUUCCUCUUCUUGUUUAUUUUAACUUUGCAUUUCUCCUACACUGAUUUUCACGUAACUUUUAGUGAAAAAUGUGGAAAAGAUGGGCGGGACUAUUUCACUCGCUACACUUAAUUUUUUAGUAAUCCAUUAUAAAAUUAUAGUUUUACUGUACAAACCCUUUUAAUUCCAAAAACGUCCUUAAUUCGUUAUCAAUUUUCUUAUUUUAGGUGGUUUUGAUUUAUAUCCUAUUUGCUUCAUUUUCUGAUUUAUAUUAUAGAUAAGGAUUUCCCUUAUUUCCCAACCAUCUUUUUGUUUUUAAAUUAAAAAAAAAAAUCUAUAACUUUUAGGACUAUUAAAGCAAAGACAACAUACAUUGCAGAGAGGAUAGAGAGAGAAAUAGUAAUUAGAAUCAGUGGCGCAUCGAAAAAAAUAAUUUACCGGGGGCUAAAUUAGAUAAUAGUAAAAUAUAAAAAAUUAAAAUUUUGAAUAUAUAAAAUAUUUAUAAUUAGUCUCUACGCAUUUUUAUAUUUUAAAAAUUUUAUGUAAUAGACUCAUUAUCAAUAUUAUUAAAUUUAUUGUUUCUUAUAUAGACAACCAAAUUAUCACUUAUCCCAUCCGAUUCCAAAGAUGAUCCUUCAUGAGUUUUAUUACUGAAAAUGUUCGUUCUACUAUUAUUAUAUAAACUGAAAGAAUUAACCAUAUUUUUUAGAAUAUAAAAUAUUUUGAGUAGUGGGUUAUCAUUAUUUUUAAUUAAAAUAUAUGUUUUUAUAUCUUUUAAAAGUCAAAGUUUAAACCCGCCUCUGAUUAGAAUAGCUCUUUGUUAUGAAAAGUCCCUCGGCUCCCAUAUUAUACUCUUUUGAGCGUAGUCCCUUCAUCAUAUAUAUAUACACUUUCAUGAGUAAAUGCUCAUUCAAUUUCUAUAUUUUAAAUUAAAUAUCAGUUUAGUUCUUAUAUUUUAAAAAAAUAUAUCAGGACACCCUUUUUAGUAAAACAUGUGAUAUGCUACCCUUACUUUUUCCUUACUGUUACACUAAUAAUACCUUUGCUUCAAUCUUGAGAGUAUUAAUUGAUUUAUCCAUUAAAAAAAUAAUAAGCAAAUUGACUAAUAAUAGUUAAUCUAAAAGGACUAGUAUUUUUCAUAUCCCUGCAAUAAUCUUUCUAAUUAUUAUUUAUAAAUAAAUUAGUACCAGUCAACUUAAAGCUACAUUUAAUAAUUUGUUGUCUUGCUAAUAACUAUCUAUAAAAAUUUAAGUUACUAAAUUAACCCUAAAAUUAAAAUAAUAAUUAAAAAAUUUACUUUAUUUCUUAUUUUAUUUUUGGUGUUAAAUAAUAAUCAAAAGAUUUACUUCAAAUUUGAUGUUAUCAUUUUUUCUUAAUGUCAAUUGUAAGGGAAUUAUUAUUAAAAAAAGAAUAUCAUAUAUUUAAUAAUAAGUGUGUUUUUAAAUAUUUUUCAAAAUAUAAUGAUUAAACAAAUACUUAACUCAAAAUAAAGGUACUAAACACCCACGCCCCAUUUUAACUUAUUUUUCUAUAAUUUUCUUUCUUAUUUAUAUAUCUUUUUGCAAUUGUUCUUCCCUUAAACGAUUAAAAGCUACUACAUAUUCACAUCAGUAGUCACAAAAGCGCCCCUACAAAAACUAAUAAACUGAGGUCCUGUUCGAAAUUGCGUGCUGUAAUUUUUAAGAUACAACUGCUGUGAAAAAAAAAAAGUGUAACUCUGAAAUUAAUAAUAUAUAGUAAAUAUAAAUUUUAAAUAAUAAUUUUGACAAAAUUAUUAAAGAUGUAAUAUUUUUUUAUUAUAAAAAUAAAAAAUCAUAUUAACAUAGUUUUCAAGAUACAACAGUUAGUAUUUAUCAAAUAUUUUAGUGUUGUAUCUUAAAAGUUAUAACUGUCCAAUCUCAAUUUCAAAUGUAACUAUACAAAUAGUUUCGUUAGGAGUUUAACCCCACGACUGUUUUUUUUUUUUUUUUUCUUCCUUGGAAAAAAAAAAAGAGAAAAGCUAUGGAACUUAAAAGAGUCGCACACAAGACACGUUCACCACAUGAAUCGAAUAAAAAAUUAGCCACAAGAAUUUAAUAACUUCAAAAUUAUAGGCUUUUAACAAGACACGAACUGAAAGGCAUAUGCAUACAGCAAAAAUAACUCAUUCUUUCAUUCAAUCCAUAAACAACAAAUAUCUGUAGCAACUAUUAUUACAACAAAAUUUCCUAAUAUUAAUCCAUUCAUUUCAUCUUCUUUCACUUCCCCAAUUAAGGCUUCUUUCAAAAUACCUCCAACUAUACAAAUUUGUUUAACUUGCAACUUAUUGUCGUUACCUGGCUCUUGCUAGGAAAACUCUAUUAUACCAAAUUGAAUGGAGUAACAUAUGAAAGAUAUCAUAUUUAACAGGCUGAGGAUGCCAAAGAAAAUGCUGCUGUACCUUUUUGACCCUCAUCUGCAUCCUACGGUAUCUCUUCUCUGAGAUGGAAAGGAGUAUGUUCUUCAAAUUUGGAAUAUCCUUCUCCAAGACAAAAACAGCAAAGGAUUCCCAGUUCAGUAUCUCGAAAAAUGGAGGCACAAAAUUGUCAGAUAUGAUUACUGGAACACAUUCGUAGAAAAUGGCCUCCACUACUCGGGGACUAUUGACUUCAUAACCUUUUGCACAGAUACAAUAUUUACUGCUCUUCAUAUGCUGGAUGUAAUCCAUUUUGCCCUUCCGCUUGCCCUUACCCUUGCCCUUGCCCUUGCCCUUAACCAUGGGCAUUUGACCAAAUAUUUUCAUGUCAGGAUCUUUAUUUUCCCAGUGGUGUAAUAGAAUGGGGCGUAGAUAGCCAUGCAUUCUUCCAGCAAAGAAAGCCAGGAUCGAUCUCUGUGAAGCAGGUUUUCCGCCAAUCGCCCUAAGAGGGUUCUGAGGUGAGAGCACGUAUGUCUCCGGAAGAGCUACAUCCUUGCCAAAUACAAAGCCUUCUUUAACAUCGGAGUUGCAGAGGGCUCUAAUGCAGUUGGCCAUGAUUAUCCUUGUUUCAGCUGGGGCCUGCAAAUAUGCAAUUAUUAGAAAAAGCAAGUUAAGGGGAAUGAGUCCUGGAAACACUAAAAUAAACAUCAUUUCAUUUAAAUAUGCGAAGCAUUUGAAGUUACAUGUUCAUCUUUUGAAUAAAGUCAUUACUCACAACCCAAGAAGUAAGCAUCAUUCACUUAUCCUAGUUACAAAUUUUCUCGUUUAAUUAAGUCAUAUUGAAUGCAAUUGCAAACUAAACUGAUAAAUUAUCAUCACAAAUAAUGAAAUGUAAAAUUUUGAAAUUCAUGAAGAUCCCAGAUGCACCUAACCAACGUAUACUUAGUACAAUUCAAACACGAAAAACAUACCCAAUCAUGGCAAGCAACGAGGAAAUGAUCUGCUCCUUCAGUUCUAUUCCAGAAAUUAUGUUUGGCUGAAAUCAGGUUGACAUAGUUCCUCAAAUAUUGAAUAAGGUUCUUAUGAUUAUGAGAAUUUUGCACAUAUAAGGUUUCUUCUAACAUCCGAGAACUAAAAGGUAAGUAAAACAGGUGAGCUUUUCUCGAAUCUUUAGUAACAAAUUGUUUGUUAGCUUCUAGCUGCUUCAUGAACCAUCCCUCUGAAGCAUAUAUUCCCUUCAGCACUGGCUCAUGUAAUAUGGGUCUUUGUCCUUCUUUGUAAACAUAA
RNAcentral lists this long non-coding RNA (12376 nucleotides) under Citrus sinensis (sweet orange). RNAcentral's name for it is "long non-coding RNA (CSIN_LNC001835)". Lineage: Eukaryota; Viridiplantae; Streptophyta; Magnoliopsida; Sapindales; Rutaceae. The record is from RNAcentral.